GAUGAACGCUGGCGGCGUGCUUAACACAUGCAAGUCGAACGGAAAGGCUCCUGCUUGCAGGGGUACUCGAGUGGCGAACGGGUGAGUAACACGUGGGUGAUCUGCCCUGCACUUCGGGAUAAGCCUGGGAAACUGGGUCUAAUACCGGAUAGGACGAUGGGUUGGAUGCCAUUGUGGAAAGUUUUUCGGUGUGGGAUGAGCUCGCGGCCUAUCAGCUUGUUGGUGGGGUAAUGGCCUACCAAGGCGUCGACGGGUAGCCGGCCUGAGAGGGUGUACGGCCCCAUGGGGCUGGGGGAGCGGCCACGGCCCCACCGGGGGGCAGGGGUGGGAACUUUACCCAAAUGGGCCCAGGGCGGGUGCAACGCCGCCGGGUGGGGGAUCGCGGCUUUCGGGUGUGAAACCCCUUUCGCUAGGGCCGGAGCCCAAGGACGGUAACCGGAGGAAAAGGCCCCGGUAACUCCCGG
Molecule: ribosomal RNA, 464 nt
Filed under: uncultured bacterium
Lineage: Bacteria
Description: partial 16S ribosomal RNA
Rfam family: Bacterial small subunit ribosomal RNA
Source: RNAcentral